CUCAGUUCCUGGCCUUAGAGGACCAGGAAGGAAAUGUAGAGAAAGCAUAACUUACGUUGCUACUUCUUUUCUUCUUUCACUUGAUUAACUUUAAAUAUCAACCUUCUGACACUUUCAUGGACAAAUGUUCAUUGGCCCAUCAUCCUUUAACUUGGGAAGCUACUGUCUCCCAUGCCAUAGGAAUCCUGCUUAGGUGUGUGGAACAAGGAAACUAACACC
This 219-nucleotide long non-coding RNA is filed under the name Bos taurus (domestic cattle). RNAcentral describes it as "long non-coding RNA NONBTAT020644". The record is from RNAcentral. Lineage: Eukaryota; Metazoa; Chordata; Mammalia; Artiodactyla; Bovidae.